UACGUAGGGUGCAAGCGUUGUCCGGAAUUAUUGGGCGUAAAGAGCUCGUAGGCGGUCUGUCACGUCGGCUGUGAAAACCUGGGGCUCAACUCCGGGCCUGCAGCCGAUACGGGCAGACUAGAGUUCGGCAGGGGAGACUGGAAUUCCUGGUGUAGCGGUGAAAUGCGCAGAUAUCAGGAGGAACACCGAUGGCGAAGGCAGGUCUCUGGGCCACUACUGACGCUGAGAAGCGAAAGCAUGGGGAGCGAACAGG
This 253-nucleotide ribosomal RNA is filed under the name uncultured bacterium. RNAcentral's name for it is "partial 16S ribosomal RNA". It matches the Rfam family "Bacterial small subunit ribosomal RNA", at positions 524 to 776 of the family's 1533-position model. The record is from RNAcentral.